RNAcentral lists this ribosomal RNA (251 nucleotides) under uncultured prokaryote. Its description in RNAcentral is "partial 16S rRNA". It matches the Rfam family "Bacterial small subunit ribosomal RNA", at positions 525 to 775 of the family's 1533-position model. The record is from RNAcentral.
ACGUAGGGUGCGAGCGUUAAUCGGAAUUACUGGGCGUAAAGCGUGCGCAGGCGGUUUAGUAAGACAGGCGUGAAAUCCCCGGGCUCAACCUGGGAACUGCGCUUGUGACUGCUAAGCUAGAGUACGGCAGAGGGGGGUGGAAUUACACGUGUUGCAGUGAAGUGCGUAGAGAUGUGGGGGAGAACCGAUAGCGAAGGCAGGCCCCUGGGCUGAGACUGACACUCAUGCAAGAAGGCGUGGUUAGCAAAUAG